RNAcentral lists this ribosomal RNA (5146 nucleotides) under Triticum aestivum (bread wheat). RNAcentral describes it as "partial small subunit ribosomal RNA". The record is from RNAcentral. Lineage: Eukaryota; Viridiplantae; Streptophyta; Magnoliopsida; Poales; Poaceae.
GCGCGUAACGAAAGGGCAAAGGUGGCGCGCAUGUGCCGUUUGCAGAGCGCGGGUGCGUGCUGAGGCGGAAUGAUGCGUGGAUCCCCAAGAGGAGGCGGCGGCCGGCAAGCGCGCCGCCCAAAGCACGGUAGCCCUAACGUCCCCUUGUCCCAAGCCGAAAGAUCCCAAGGCGGCCAAACCAAACCAGCCCGGACGCAGCACGCAAAGCUGCUCGCUUAGAUCACCAGCUAAACUUAGUCACCCGCAGCCUACGUCCACGGCCACCGCCAAUCGAACUAAGGCUAAGACGACAUUAUGGCUGCCCUAAAAGUCGAUGCAAACACAAACACGCCAAGUUACCGCCCUAGACACCCGUGUCCGUCCCAUCGUGGAGCCAGCAGGGGUUUCGCCAUGUUGCCGUACCUAGGCGGCAAUAGAAACUGGUCCGGCUGGUACAAGCUAGACGUCUUCUGCCGACUCGAGCUCUUCAAGAACCAACUUCGCCCGGAAAUGCUCUCGCUCCUCGUCAGGCGCUUUGCCCUCCUCCACGAUGCCCUCUAACUACCCUAUCAAUUCCUUACCCACUUCGUCAAUUGAUCAGUCUUUCCCAUAAGACUCGUUUACUAACUUUUCCGUUUACAUCAGGAAAAGUGAAAACCUAGAAUGGCGAACCCCCAUUGACGGAUAAAGAGACGGGAUAAGAAAAUAAGGUAUGUGGAACAGGGAAGACAGUGUAAUUUAUUGUAUGAACAGAUAGAAAAAUAAUAGAAUAAUUACACUUAGUUCGCCUAAGUUUAUUCUUGUAGGUGGGUUUUCAAGAGCAAACUUCUUCAUUUGUAUGAACCCAAACGUCAAAAUCUUUGAACUGAACAAAGUAGAGAGUAUCUCUACGAAAACCCAAAAGAUCCGUAAAGUAGGUUUAACCGGGGAUGAUUUUCAAUGAAACGUCAUAUUUAAGGUAUUGGACGACGGUUUGACGAUAACGAACAACUCAACAAUAGUCGAACCGUGACGUAGGGAGACUAUAACGUAUCAAAUACAGUCCCAGUGUAAUGACGAGAAGAUCUGCCACCUAUUGCUUAGUUUUCAGUUCAAUUCACGAUGUUGAUAAAUAAUUUUCCGACGAUCUUGAUUAAAAACAUUAGACUUUCAUUAGUGUUGGUAAGGAGAAAUCAGGUUACUCACUUUGUUUAUAACAGUGGCGUUGUAACGAUGUGUAAUGCAGUCUCCUUUUUUAACAGUAACACUAACCUACUCAUCCCACGCGGUCACCUCAUUAAAUACACGGUAAUGAUACAAUUUAGUUCUCCCUCUUUAUCCAGUGGGCUAUUUGUUAGUUUCUGGUGGACAAGACACACUACAUUCGAUUUUGCUGUUGGUUAUUUCUACACCAGUAUGUAAGUUGAAAAUGUGAAAGAGUACUUAAGUACUACCUGGUCUUAUUUCGUUAUUAACAGUGUCUAUUCUAAACUCAAUCUUCCUCAGACCUCAUCACUUAAUCAAGUCGUACAAAGCGUUAGACCAUGACCUUGGAUUCUUUGUGCCUAUGCCUCUGUGUCUGUGCCGCUAUUGUACCCUAUGCCGUAAAAGGGUUUUAUCGGUAAAGCCCCUAUGCUGCUCAUAUACAUUUCUUUAAAAAUUUAUACGGUACAUUAUAUCUCAAUUUUGUUUUUUUAAUUACUCCUUAACUCUACUCUAGUCUGAUGGCGGAGUAAAGGUAGACCACAGAGUAAAAAGUUCACGAGUUAAUAACUUAAUUAACUAGGAGAUCUGGGUACAGUAACGUUGAAUGUUUCAUGUAGUUUGCGAUCAUAAUCAUUUGAUCGUCCUAGAGUUGUAGUCCGACGGGAAGUCGCAGAAGCGAUGACCGUCACCACGAGGGUCUAUUGUACGAGGGAUUGUCGUUCGUUGAUAGUUGUGGGUUGUCGUCGUGGUGUAAGUUAGCUCGUGUUAUAGUACAUCGGUUAGUUUUGCGUUCGUCGUUACUGUACCGACGUACCCCUUCGUUCGUCGUCGUCGAGUUGUUGUUCACAGUGUUUCUCUACUUCUCCAACUUCUCUCCGACGACACGAACCCCAAUGGACGAGCUCGCACUAACGGCAACCAUCCUCUCCGACGACACGAACCCUUUGCCACCGUCCCGCUCAGGUCCGUCGCCGCAACUACAUCCGCCACCGCCGCGCAAGCGAUCUCGGUCCUCGUCGAGCAAAGGAAAACACCACUCGCAUACACGCUCACCCAAACAUAGUUCGUCUCCGACAAUAACCCGGAGGGCUCAGGGGUGGUAUAGGGUCGGAACAGGAAUAAAAAAAAGAAUAAAAAAAUUAAGCAUUUACUCUACCAUGACACCCUAUGUGCAUAGGGCCGCACAGUGGCACAGGACGGCGUGAUCCUGUCGUUUAGCGACUUAGACGACAUAGGUACGAAAGCUCUAACCUUGCCUACGACGAACCAACCACAACUACCAUACGGGGAGCAGCGUUCCUAUGGACUGUCUAGUAAUUAUGACCAUAUAUCCUUUCUAUCUAAGUUAACUCAUCAACGAGUACAAACUCUAAAACGUAGAAAAAGGUUUGUUACAAGAAUUUGUAAUAACAUUCGUUAUUAUUAUCAAAUUGCACGAUUCUUAGUAAAGAUUGGUACACACCCUCACCGUGUACACAUUACCUAUAAAGAUUAGAAGACUAUAGUCAUCAAUUGAGUGUCCUUAUUCCCUAAGAUGUUACAUCUCCAAAUUUACGGUAGUGACACGUCGUAGACAGGUACAUGGAAAGUCGUAUAGUGUACGAAAGAAUCAAAAUACGAGAAAGUGCAUAAAACGAUUCAAGGACAAUGUCAUAUACUAGAGGAAGCCGAAGACCUCAUUUAUGAAGGACACGACCAUUUAAAUUCGCUCAGAUGAAGUAUUACUGGAGAAACAAUCCAAGUACCCGGACCUCGUCUGUAACUAUAGAAUACACAACCUGGAAGUAUACACUUGGCUCUCCUCCUAAAGAAACAGUGUGAUGUACCGUAUAAUUGUGUUGACCUUCUUCACUGACUUGAUGUUGGACAUGGACUACGAGUACAUGGAGAAUACUUUAAAUUCAAGGUGUCCUACCGUUAACUGGAAGAGAUACGGUCACAUAGAGAACGUCAUUAUGGUGGUUUAAAGGCCUGUUGUGAGUCCACAAACUUCAUGACCCGUCUCUCUUCCCCGCAAAUAAGGUUACAAUGACCAAAGGAACCCCCACAGUUGACCCGGUAUAACCAACGAGAAUAGACGGUUGAGAUAGGAUUACGACAUGGUUCAUACGACCAGAGUUCUAAGAAGUCUCAAAAAUGCGUCACCGUCACCGGCUUAGGUCACUACGAAACACGGUAACUCUUACUACUGGAACCAAAAAGACAUACCCUAGGUGCAUUUUUAGGAGCACUAUCUAGAGUACAAUACGGAUAGUAUUGAGGUCCGAUAGGUACGUACUUGAGAUCGAUAUUACAUAGAAGAUCGUGUAACUCCCAAUAGUUCCUCGUUAAAUUCGAGCCAUUAUUCUAAACAGUCCUUUAACUGGAAUUAUUCCGAUCAACCUGACGGAACAAACUCGGAAAAUAAAAAAAGCUCCGUAUAUGCUUCAUAGAUCACCAACUGUAACAACGCCUGUUACUACUACUAGAAGCCGAAACCUUCCCUACCCAACUCAGAGCUGACUCCGUCGACUGGAACUUCUAUCUCGCCCUAUGAUUACCUUACGACGUUACGGUAGGAAUGGGUACACUGAUAAGUUUAGGAUGUCAUGUCACACGAGUAACGAGGAAGAUGUACCCGAAUAGUUCCUUUCUUCCCUACUUUUAUGUACCAGUUUUGAAACUAUAAGCACCUUGCCAUCUACUCAAAUACGUACUUUAGCCUUACAUGUGUAACACCUUCAGACCUUACCUGGAUCGCCAGUGAGUACAAGCAUUCUUCGUCUAGGGAAUAAUACAUAAACUUGUCCCAAUGUUCUUUGGAACAGGUGGUUACGUACGUUUGGUCGUUCUCGUCAGACUAUCUGUACUGUGACUUCUACUGUGUGACUGUCGUAGAUACAACCCGGUUGAUUUCUCUUUCGCACUAAAACUACUUCGACCAGUGUCACUUAGUACAUUUAGACAAUUUUCCAGAAGUCAUACGGAUCCGAUGCUCCUUUCAGGUGGACUUAUACCUUCGUAACAUUCAUUUCAACAUAGGCCUUUGUGUCAGUUUAACCAAAGGUCACGGGAGACAUUACCUCAAGUCUUACCUGACAGCGUACCGUUACAUUUAAACCUUAGUCGUUUAACGAGGUCAAGUGGUGUACCUAGACUCCUCAGACGUCGUAGUCCGUGUUCGACACGUCGACACCUUUGUCAAGUGUACCAAAUACUUUGACAACCAGGACUUUCGAGUUACCGUACACAAUAGUUACCAUACCAGGUCUGAUACCGUCACGUGUGUGGAAAUUUUACACACCGACUCUUUCUACUUGGGUUCAAACUCCCUUAACCAUCGAACCGUUUGUCGUUAAGACGGCUCAAAUACCUCGUCUGUCUUUACGAGUGACCUUUGCAGGAACCACUCUUAUACGUGAACACACUUACUCGACUAAACUUCGCUGGAAGGUGAUUUGUCUAAUACGUCCACGGUUUAACCAACAUAGGUCUUCGGUCUUUCGAAGUUAAUCCAGACGGGAUUUGACGCACUCACCUCCUAUCAGUUUUCCUUUUCUGACCACUGAACGACUUACCUUAGUCCCCAAAGUACGGACACCAGCCAUUCAAACAAACGAGGCUCAAGACUGUACCUAAAAGAGUCUUCCCUCAGAACUUUCUUCUCCACGAGGACCACGGCCUUACAAGUCAGUCGAUAUACCUCGUUUACACGUCGUCAAACAGGGUCUACGAAGAGACUGUUCCUGUUCGAAAAAAUGGGUUUUGACGCUUGGUACAUGGUAGGUCCAAUGAACUAGAAUAAUGAUCAUAUUAUGUGUCGAACAUUCACAAUAUGUCUCUACCAGAUGGAAUGUGUAAUUAAUGUAUCCAAGUCCAGUCUCAAUCCAUCGAAUGGUAGUUAAAACAGUAUCUCUUCUGGCGUGUGGGAAAUGGAUACUAUUAAAAGUUUACGGCCUUCGAAACAGAUGAGUAUACUAACGUAAUAGUACAAGGAAAAGGG